This 426-nucleotide ribosomal RNA is filed under the name uncultured cyanobacterium. Its description in RNAcentral is "bacterial SSU rRNA". It matches the Rfam family "Bacterial small subunit ribosomal RNA", at positions 355 to 795 of the family's 1533-position model. The record is from RNAcentral. Lineage: Bacteria; Bacillati; Cyanobacteriota.
UGGGGAAUCUUCCGCAAUGGGCGCAAGCCUGACGGAGCAAGACCGCGUGAGGGAGGAAGGCUCUUGGGUUGUAAACCUCUUUUAUCAGGGAAGAAAAAAAUGACGGUACCUGAUGAAUCAGCAUCGGCUAACUCCGUGCCAGCAGCCGCGGUAAUACGGAGGAUGCAAGCGUUAUCCGGAAUUAUUGGGCGUAAAGCGUCCGCAGGUGGCUAUUCAAGUCUGUUGUUAAAGCACGGGGCUUAACCCCGGAAAGGCAAUGGAAACUGAAAAGCUAGAGUGCAGUAGGGGUAAAGGGAAUUCCCGGUGUAGCGGUGAAAUGCGUAGAGAUCGGGAAGAACAUCGGUGGCGAAAGCGCUUUACUGGACUGCAACUGACACUCAGGGACGAAAGCUAGGGGAGCGAAUGGGAUUAGAUACCCCAGUAGUC